UUUCCCUCAGGAUAGCUGGCACUCGCUUGAGCGAGUCUCAUCUGGUAAAGCGAAUGAUUAGAGGCCUUGGGGCCGAAACGACCUCAACCUAUUCUCAAACUUUAAAUGGGUGAGAUCUCUGGCUUGCUUGAACGUUGAAGCCACGAGAUAAUUAUGGAUCAGAGUGCCAAGUGGGCCAAUUUUGGUAAGCAGAACUGGCGCUGUGGGA
This 208-nucleotide ribosomal RNA is filed under the name Centrodora sp. D2700. RNAcentral's name for it is "partial 28S ribosomal RNA". It matches the Rfam family "Eukaryotic large subunit ribosomal RNA", at positions 967 to 1163 of the family's 3401-position model. The record is from RNAcentral. Lineage: Eukaryota; Metazoa; Arthropoda; Insecta; Hymenoptera; Aphelinidae.